Long non-coding RNA from Corvus hawaiiensis (hawaiian crow), 2608 nucleotides. RefSeq lists it as uncharacterized. The transcript is spliced from 2 exons. The record is from RefSeq and is a predicted model, not a curated record. Lineage: Eukaryota; Metazoa; Chordata; Aves; Passeriformes; Corvidae.
GGGAUGGGGAAGGCCGCGUGGGCCGCGGAGACGGUGGACGUGGUGGCUGGGCCAUGGGCUGCGGCCCCUGAGGCUGAGCCAUGCCCCGUGCCUCACCUGAGGGACCCCUUCCCCCGAGGUGCGAGGAGCGAUGGGCAUCGGGUGCCCGGGAAUCCCCACCCCGGCUCUCUUAGCCGACAGCUGGGCACAUGCAGCAGGGUGAGCUGCGGGAGCGUUUGCAGCCAGCCAGGACGGGUGUCUGUCUCUGGGUUUCGGCAGAGCCAGGAUCCAAGUGCCCUGCAAGCAGCCGUGGGCAGAGCAGCACCAAGCCAUGGACACGGAGUUUCGGCAGGAUCCAGGUCCAAGACCUUUAGGGAAUGCUGGCUCCUGAGCGCACUGAAAUCCCAAGGGGCACCAGUGUCCCGUGGGACCCCCGAUGGGAACCCCGCUCCUCGUUCUCCAGCACAUACCCCAUGCCUGGGAGCUGAAGGAUGCUCCCACCCAGACUCGCCCUUCUCCCAGUGUGGAGUUGGGCCACGAGGAGGGAUGUGGCCCACCGGAAUGUGCCUGGAUUAGGAGCUGCAUUGUACCUGGCUCCGGCUGGCUCUGCACCAGGGGGGUCUGGCGGCCCCCGGUGAAUUCCUCUCUUUAGGCUCUCCACCGCAUAUCCCGGGGCAAGAGGCUCUUCCUGCUCUGGAGACAUUCUUGCCGAGCCACCUCAGCCCAGGGUUAAUGAGAGCAGGAGGUGGUGAAACCAGAGCUGGCUCCUUGGGUGAAAACACGGCCGGUUUAUUCUUGUGCUAAUGCCGCGAAAAAAAGAGGAUUGAGCCUUUUUAAUGAGUUUUUAGGCUGGAGCCUGCUGCAUCCCCUGGUCCCAUCCCCUGGUUCCCAGCAUCCAGAGCAGGACGGCAAAGGUCAGCAGCCCCAAAUUAGGAGUGGCUGGGACCAACUCCACUUCCCAUGAGGACCCCCCCACCAACCCCCUGCACUGGGAUCCACGGGAAAGACAGUGGACUCCAGACGAGAACACACUUGCUCUGCCUGCUCCAUGCAAGGGGCAAGGCUGAAACCGCUGAUCCCUUCUGUCCUGCACACCCAUUCCUGAUGGAAGCCUCAAGCUUUAACACGAAUUUUGGGCAGCAUUUGCAGGAUGCCCCUGACCCUGCUGAGCACCCUGCCCUCACAUAGCUGCCGGAUGUCAGAUGUCCUUCCUGGAGGAACUGGACUGGAGAUACUCCUGUUUACCCCCGUGCAGCAGUAGCCGCCUUGGCUUGAGCCAAUUAUUGCUGUUUUUCCCGACCAUGCCGUGCCUGAGGAGCUGGGUGGGCAGGUGCCCCAGCACACCAGCACAUCCAUCAUCCACGCGGCACAAGGGCGGCAGCAGCCAUGAGCCACAGUUUCCAUCUGAGUCCCAGUUUCCAUUGGCAUCCCACACCUCCGGCAGCCAGAGCAGACCCCAGGCACACAGCUCCCACUGGGAUGCCCCGGGCCGAUCCCUGGCACCCCUUCCAGCACUCCAGCCCCAUAUCCAUGGAUGGGUUCCCUGACGGUUUCUUACUGCAUCUAUAAGAAGCUGAACAGAAGAAAGCAAACCCAGCCAUAUUACCCCAAAAAAUUUUAAAUCCCCGAGUCCAAAGAUAUUUAUGAGAUUUUGUUUCCAUCCCUGCUCUAAGCCAGUCAGGCUCUGGGAAAUGACGCACAGUCUUCCCGCAGGGAAGCGGAGGUGCUGGUGUUCCCAAAGCUGCUGACCCCAGCGAGCCCCAUCCCUGUGCAGUCCCCAGUUCUCCUGCCCACCCACCUUGCUGUGCCUGGCUCCACCAGCCCUCUCACCCCUGGCCACCACAGGCCGUGGGGUAGGAAAGACCCAGCACCCUGCAGGUCCCUGCUCACCCUCUGCACCCAAAACCCCAGCUGAGACAGCCCCCAAAAUGAACUGGGAGCGUGCAGGGGAGGGAGGACUCAUGGGAGCUGCCCGGCUGCAUCCCUCGCACCCGAAGGUGGUGACAGCUCAGUUCAAUCUCUGCCGUGUGUGGCAGAGGGGGGAGGCUGCGAGGAGCCGCUGUCUCACGUGGGAGAGAGCACCCGGCACCGUGUCAGCUCAGCCAAAUUAAAAAUACUCCUGCAGCCCCCAGGCUGGUGCCUGGACGGGCGGAUCUGGCAAGGACGUGGCCUGCGGGAUCUGCAGAUGCUGGAAGGGACACAGGGAGGAGAAGGUGCUCCCACACAGAGAAGGGGAUGGGGCACACACUGGGGGACCCCAGUAUUUCCCAGCUGUGUCCCAGUUCUCCUGCACAACUCGGGGUACCUGAGGGGCUGUUCCUCCUCUGCUGGGGGGGCCCUUCCAGCACCACUGUGGGCACAGAGACUCUGGCUCCGGCACACUCAGGUCCUUGCGGAGGGGCCUGCAUGGGCAGUGGGCCAUAGACAGGGAGCCACGGGGUGCUACUGGAGAAGAAGCCCCUCGACUUGCUGGCAUGGGACCCCCACACACACCCUACAGCCACUGCCAGCUUGCAGGAUGCAGCCUCGUGCCUCCUUCCCCUGCACAGCCUUGUCACAACCUUCAGCUGCGUGACUGCAGCUGGCAGGGAACAAGCCUUGAAAUAAACUCAGAUGACAUUCCUGCAAA